AACGAACGCUGGCGGCAGGCUUAACACAUGCAAGUCGAGCGAGACCUUCGGGUCUAGCGGCGGACGGGUGAGUAACGCGUGGGAACCUGCCCUUCUCUACGGAAUAGCCCCGGGAAACUGGGAGUAAUACCGUAUACGCCCUUUGGGGGAAAGAUUUAUCGGAGAAGGAUCGGCCCGCGUUGGAUUAGGUAGUUGGUGGGGUAAUGGCCCACCAAGCCGACGAUCCAUAGCUGGUUUGAGAGGAUGAUCAGCCACACUGGGACUGAGACACGGCCCAGACUCCUACGGGAGGCAGCAGUGGGGAAUCUUAGACAAUGGGGGCAACCCUGAUCUAGCCAUGCCGCGUGAGUGAUGAAGGCCUUAGGGUUGUAAAGCUCUUUCAGCUGGGAAGAUAAUGACGGUACCAGCAGAAGAAGCCCCGGCUAACUCCGUG
This 433-nucleotide ribosomal RNA is filed under the name uncultured bacterium. Its description in RNAcentral is "partial 16S ribosomal RNA". It matches the Rfam family "Bacterial small subunit ribosomal RNA", at positions 29 to 507 of the family's 1533-position model. The record is from RNAcentral.